CUCGUUUGUCUGUGUCUGCUCUUUUCCUUCAGCGCUUUACUGGACAAUGAAAGUCUGAAGGGGGAUUUCUCUUCAACAAAUCAGCUAAGGAGUACCUACAUCUCUGUUGGAGUGCCCAGCUCCCGAGGGGUUAAGCAAAGCUUCCAGACACAGCUGGCUACCAGUCACAUGAUCAGGCCCAUCUCUACCAUCCAUAGAGCAAGUCCACGAUCCAAUGUGACAAUGAUGUCCGCAUCACCAAUCUGGACUCAAAAUCGGGUAACCCUGAAUGAAACACCUGAGAGUUGUCGAAAGACAGAAGAGCAUAUCGACUUUGGCGUAGGGUCCAACCACCAGGUAAGUUGUUCAACGCCUUACCUCAAAGUACCACAGGACGGAAUUUCAGUCCACCACUUCAGACCCCAAGAUGUCCAUAUAGAAGUCAACUAUGCUGAGCCUCUCUCACCUCCCACUGAAGAGGCAGGAGCUGAUGUUGUAUCUUUGCUUGGAUCUGACCACAAGGAACAAUCCAUGUGGGAUAUGGAAAAGGAGGAAGAGGAUCAGAACAUAGUCAGAACCUGGUUUGCUGAAGAGAAACCCGUUCUGGAAUCUGCCAUGAGUCACCGGGUCGAGACCAGCUUCAGUAUGCCAACUGUGUUCAGCACUGAUGCUCAAGAGCUCUACAGCCCUUCAGUGAGCUAUGAGAGAGCAGGUUCGGUGACAGGGGCACAUUCUGCUUUCUCAGCGAAUGAUGAUAAUGAUGUACCUUUUGAAAUGUAUUUUGAAAAAGAGGAACCUCUACUAGAUAUGCCUUACGGUCCCAUGAAUGCAUCGGAGGAAAGAGAGCUUGAAACAGCAAAGAAAGAUGCUGAAUGGGCGAGAAACGAAGGCUUGGAAUCUGAAACUGCAUCAGUGCUAGAGCAAGCAUUUGAAACCUUCACAAGCAGUCAAGCUUUUGAGUAUGGGGCGGGGAAAAGUUACAACAAGCCAAUAGAGUUCAACCAAGAGGACAAUAUGUCAUAUGAAUCCACUCAAGCCUCCCACGGUUCAGAAGAGGCAUUUCGCCAUGUUAAAAGACUGGAGGAAGAUGUUAUUCAUCUCCCAAAAGAGGAUGAAAAUGAUAUGUCUAACAAACAUGAGGAGCAAUUGGAAGAUGAAUUGCACCCCUAUGGGUAUGGUAACGAUGAUUGUGAAAGAUUGGGAGGAUUCAUUAAGGAAAAUGACAUGACAGAAAGAAUCGAUAAGUUCAACCAAGAGGAGAUUAUCUCAUAUGAAUCUGCUCAAGCUUCUCACUGGUCAGAAGAGGUAUUUCACCAUGUUGAAAGAGUGGAGGAAGGUGACAUAAAUUUCACAAAAGUGGAUGAUGAAAAUGAUAUGUCUAACAAACGUGAGGAACAACAUGCACUGAACCCCAAUGGGGAUGUAAAGGAUGAAUGGGAUCGAGUGGCAGGGUACAAUGAAGAGAAUGGAAUUGGAGAAAGAAUGGAUGAUUGGAAAGAAGCAAAGUAUCAUGUGAAAGAGGAAGAGAUGUGGAAUAACAGAGAAGCCCAACCCAAUCGGUCUGAUCAAGAGUAUAUACCUUCAAAUGAAGAGAAACAAAAUCUAUUCGAGCAAGAGCAAAUACCUUCAGGCAGAGAGAAACUGAAUCAGUCUGAGCAAAGGUAUAUCAAUUCAAACGGAGAGAAACUGAAUCAAUCUGAGCAAGAACAUAUACCUUCAGGCGGAGAGAAACUGAAUCAAUCCGAGCCAGAGUACAUAACUUCAGGCGGAGAGAAACAGAACGUAAAUGCACAAGAACACAUAACAACAGACGGAGAGAAAAUGAAUCAAUCCGAGUCAGAGUAUAUACCUUCAGGUGGAGAGAAACUGAAUCAAUCCGAGCCAGAGUACAUAACUUCAGGCGGAGAUAAACUGAAUAUAUCCGACAAUGACAAAGAGGAUCAUGAUGAGGCAAACUACUGUCAAAAUAAUUCUGUUUCAUGGAGGGCUGAGCUAGAAGGCGACAGCUAUGCUCAGGACAACACACUAGCCGACACACACCCCUUGAUCCGUUACAAGAGUGACGAGACGGAUGUCAACACUCUGGCUUCACACAUGGGCGAGAGCGACUCCAGUGAUGGUGAAGAGGACAGGGAGGUUUGCCAGACAGGAACAGACACCUGGGGCGAAGGCAAGUCCAAACAGUUUGACACCAUGGAGGAUCUGUAUGAAGAGUCAGAAGGAGAUGUCAUAGAUCAGGAACGUCACAUGGGCUCCACUCACCAAGGCGACGUGGAUGCUAGCCAAACAAAGGAGCAUGCUACACAGGAGAACGAUGAGGAGAAUGCUGUAGAUCAGUUGAUUCAGGAGGCAGAAGAGGAGCAAUCCUAUGAGGAACUUACAGAACCUGGAGAGUACUCCAUGGUGUGCUCUGAUGAGGACUAUAAUGAAGAAAGAAUUGAUAGAUUGGUGGAGCAAGAGCUAGAGAAUUUAUCUAUAUCCAGUUACAGUGAACACUUUACUGGGCAGAUGAUUGAGAGCGAGUCAGUACUGAGUCUUCAAAUUGAGUCUCACACUGAACUUUCCCAGACACAAGACAUAUUAUACAGUGAGGAGGUAGAGCAGAUACACUCAGAGAGACUGAAUCAAACUGAGCAAAAGUAUAUACACUCAGAGAGACUGAAUCAACCUGAGCAAGAGUAUAUACACUCAGAGAGACUGAAUCAAUCUGAACAAGAGUAUAUACCUUCAGGAGGAGAGAAACUGAAUCUAAAUGCACAAGAACACAUACCCACAGAUGGAGAGAAUCUGAAUCAAUCUGAACAAGAGUAUAUACCCUCAGGCAGAGAGAAACUGAAUCUAUAUGUGCAAGAAAACAUACCCUCAGAUGGAGAGAAAAUGAAUCAAUCUGAACAAGAGAAGAUACCUUCAGGCGGAGAGAAACUGAAUCAAUAUGAGCAAGAGCAUAUACCUUCAGGCGGAGAGAAACAGAACGUAAAUGCACAAGAAAACAUACCAACAGACGGAGAGAAACUGAAUCAAUCCGAGCCAGAGUACAUAACUUCAGGCGGAGAGAAACGGAAUCAAUCCGAGCAAGAGAAUAUACCUUUAGGUGGAGAGAAACGGAAUCAAUCUGAACAAGAGAAGAUACCUUCAGGAGGAGAGAAACUGAAUCAAUCUGAGCCAGAGUAUAUAAUUUCAGGCGGAGAGAAACUGAAUCAAUCUGAACAAGAGGAUAUAACUUCAGGCGGCGAGACACUGGAUAUAUGUGAGCAAGAACAUAUACCCUCAGACAGAGAGAAAAUGAAUCAAUCCGAGCAAGAAAAUAUACCUUUAGGUGGAGAAAAACUGAAUCAAUUCGAGCAAGAAAAUAUACCUUUAGGUGGACAGAAACUGAAUCAAUUCGAGCCAGAGUAUAUAAUUUCAGGCGGAGAGAAACUGAAUCAAUCUGAACAAGAGAAUAUACCUUUAGGUGGACAGAAACUGAAUCAAUUCGAGCCAGAGUACAUAACUUCAGGCGGAGAGAAACUGAAUCUAUAUGUGCAAGAACACAUACCCUCAGACAGAGAGGAACUGAAUCAAUCUGAACAAGAGAAUAUACCUUUAGGCGGAGAGAAACAGAACGUAAAUGCACAAGAACACAUACCAACAGACGGAGAGAAAAUGAAUCAAUCCGAGUCAGAGUAUAUACCUUCAGGUGGAGAGAAACUGAAUCAAUCCGAGCCAGAGUACAUAACUUCAGGCGGAGAGAAACUGAAUCUAUAUGUGCAAGAACACAUACCCUCAGACAGAGAGGAACUGAAUCAAUCUGAACAAGAGGAUAUAACUUCAGGCGGAGAGAAACGGAAUCAAUCCGAGCCAGAGUACAUAACUUCAGGCGGAGAGAAACGGAAUCAAUCCGAGCAAGAGAAUAUACCUUUAGGCGGAGAGAAACUGAAUCAAUCUGAGUCAGAGUACAUAACUUCAGGCGGAGAGAAACAGAACGUAAAUGCACAAGAACACAUACCAACAGACGGAGAGAAAAUGAAUCAAUCCGAGUCAGAGUAUAUACCUUCAGGUGGAGAGAAACUGAAUCAAUCCGAGCCAGAGUACAUAACUUCAGGCGGAGAGAAACUGAAUCUAUAUGUGCAAGAACACAUACCCUCAGACAGAGAGAAAAUGAAUCAAUCCGAGCAAGAAAAUAUACCUUU
This is a long non-coding RNA of Oncorhynchus tshawytscha (Chinook salmon), 4148 nucleotides long. The record is from Ensembl. Lineage: Eukaryota; Metazoa; Chordata; Actinopteri; Salmoniformes; Salmonidae.